Molecule: ribosomal RNA, 253 nt
Filed under: uncultured bacterium
Lineage: Bacteria
Description: partial 16S ribosomal RNA
Rfam family: Bacterial small subunit ribosomal RNA
Source: RNAcentral
UACGUAGGGUGCGAGCGUUAAUCGGAAUUACUGGGCGUAAAGCGUGCGUAGACGGUUAUGUAAGUCGGGUGUGAAAGCCCCGGGCUCAACCUGGGAAUGCCAUUCGAGACUGCAUAGCUAGGGUGCGGAAGAGGGAAGCGGAAUUUCAGGUGUAGCGGUGAAAUGCGUAGAUAUCUGAAGGAACACCAGUGGCGAAAGCGGCUUCCUGGUCCAGAACCGACGUUCAGGCACGAAAGCGUGGGGAGCAAACAGG